UGACCACAUCGUGUUGAAACACCGGUUUCCAUACGAUCGCACAAGAUAAGCAACAUCGAGCUCGGUCAGUACUUAGAUGAGUGACCGCUUGGCUAUACCAGA
Acanthosepion pharaonis is the source of this 102-nucleotide non-coding RNA. The record is from the annotation of a GenBank genome assembly. NCBI's taxonomy places the organism in Eukaryota, Metazoa, Mollusca, Cephalopoda, Sepiida, Sepiidae.